GGAGGGUGCAAGCGUUAUUCGGAAUCACUGGGCGUAAAGAGCGCGUAGGCGGUUUCUAAAGUCAGAUGUGAAAGCCCGGGGCUCAACCCCGGAAGUGCAUUUGAAACUUAGGGACUUGAGUAUGGGAGAGGGAAGUGGAAUUCCUGGUGUAGCGGUGAAAUGCGUAGAUAUCAGGAGGAACACCGGUGGCGAAGGCGACUUCCUGGACCAAUACUGACGCUGAGGCGCGAAGGCGUGGGGAGCAAACAGGAUUAGAUACCCUGGUAGUCCACGCAGUAAACGUUGAACACUAGGUGUAGCGGGUAUUGACCCCUGCUGUGCCGCAGCUAACGCAUUAAGUGUUCCCGCCUGGGGAGUACGGCCGCAAGGCUA
RNAcentral lists this ribosomal RNA (372 nucleotides) under uncultured organism. RNAcentral describes it as "partial 16S ribosomal RNA". It matches the Rfam family "Bacterial small subunit ribosomal RNA", at positions 527 to 896 of the family's 1533-position model. The record is from RNAcentral.